GCACAAGCGGUGGAGUAUGUGGUUUAAUCGACGCAACGCGCAGAACCUUACCUGGUCUUGACAUCCCGGGAAUUCCUUGAAGAGGAAGUGCCUCGCAAGAGGAGCCUGGAGACAGGUGCUGCAUGGCUGUCGUCAGCUCGUGUCGUGAGAUGUUGGGUUAAGUCCCGCAACGAGCGCAACCCUUGUCUUUAGUUGCCAUCAUUCAGUUGGGCACUCUAAAGAGACUGCCGGUGUCAAACCGGAGGAAGGUGGGGAUGACGUCAAGUCCUCAUGGCCUUUAUGACCAGGGCUACACACGUACUACAAUGGCCGGUACAAAGGGCAGCCACUUAGCGAUAAGGAGCCAAUCCCGUAAAGCCGGUCUCAGUCCGGAUUGGAGUCUGCAACUCGACUCCAUGAAGUUGGAAUCGCUAGUAAUCGCAGGUCAGCAUACUGCGGUGAAUACGUUCCCGGGUCUU
RNAcentral lists this ribosomal RNA (458 nucleotides) under uncultured Desulfocapsa sp. RNAcentral describes it as "bacterial SSU rRNA". It matches the Rfam family "Bacterial small subunit ribosomal RNA", at positions 923 to 1382 of the family's 1533-position model. Lineage: Bacteria; Pseudomonadati; Thermodesulfobacteriota; Desulfobulbia; Desulfobulbales; Desulfocapsaceae. The record is from RNAcentral.